This 253-nucleotide ribosomal RNA is filed under the name uncultured bacterium. RNAcentral describes it as "partial 16S ribosomal RNA". It matches the Rfam family "Bacterial small subunit ribosomal RNA", at positions 524 to 776 of the family's 1533-position model. The record is from RNAcentral.
UACAGAGGGGGCAAGCGUUGUCCGGAAUUACUGGGCGUAAAGGGCGCGUAGGCGGCCUUCUAAGUCGAACGUGAAAUCCCUGGGCUCAACCCAGGAACUGCGUCCGAUACUGGAAGGCUUGAAUCCGGGAGAGGGAUGCGGAAUUCCAGGUGUAGCGGUGAAAUGCGUAGAUAUCUGGAGGAACACCGGUGGCGAAGGCGGCAUCCUGGACCGAUAUUGACGCUGAGGCGCGAAAGCCAGGGGAGCAAACGGG